AUCACAUUGCGCUAAACAGCCAAAUUCCAUUCCUUUUUUUUUUUCUGUCAAAAUAUUCCACAAAUUCCUCAAAAUCUAAGCUUUCAAACCAACCAAACAAAACAAAACCAGAUAGAAAAGAAGCAAAGCAUAGCUUCACAUGGUUAACAAAUAGCCAAAACACAGAGUCUAUACACAAGAAAACCACAGAGGAUAUGACAAUGCCACCACAAGAUAGAUCAAAGCCACUGCACAACUUCUCAUUGCCUUGCUUCAAAUGGGGUCACCAAAGAGUCCUUAGAUGUGUCAAAGUUACUGAUGAUCCUCAUCAUCGAUCUUCUUCUUCGAUUCCCAAUGGAUUUCAAUCCAAACCCACCUGCCUUGACACCCCCAAGAAUCACAAACCAAUCCCAAUUCAAGAAAAUCCCAUUUCUCCUGAUCUUAGAUUCAAUGAAGGUGCUAAGAGAUUGAAGGUCUCACCUCUUCUUGAAGAAGAGAGAGGCAAUGAUGAUUCUACGAGGCCUUGGAAUUUGAGGACCAGAAGGGCGGCAUGCAAGGCGCCACUGCGGAUAGAUGAGAAGAGAAAUAUUGAUUCUCCAAAGAAAAUUUUGGAGAUUGAUUCGCCAAGGAGAAAUGACACUUCUUUGGUUAAGAGGCAGAGUAUGGAGCCCCUGAAGGAUAAAGUCAAGUUUUCGGUUCCCCUUUCAAAGGAGGAGAUUGAGCAAGAUUUCAUGGAGAUUGCUAGGAUUAGGCCACCCAGAAGGCCCAAGAAGAGACCUCGAAUGGUGCAGAAGUAUUUGGACUCAAUUUUUCCAGGACUGUGGCUAACAGAAGUUACACCAGAUUCAUACAAGGUUCCUGAAGUACCUGAGUCAUGAGAGGGACAGAAAUGAAAGUGUAGUUAUUUUCUGGGGAAUUUCUUAUGUUCUGCUUGCUAACACUCGGUGUAUUUGACCUCAAUUAAUGCCAUGACUGGCUGUCUUCAUGGUAAAUUUUGCUUGUGCAUUUUUUUGAGGUUCUGGGAAUCAAUUGAGGGAAACUAACUGCAAAUGAUCAAGUGCAAUUUCUAACUCACCAUGCAAUAUUUGGUCAUCUUUGGAGGAAGUUGGUUGAGGAAUAUGUGGCCAUGUCUUGGUGCUUCAUCAGAAACAAAUGGAACUCGAAUGGAAGUUUGCUAUUACUUUGAUAGUUAUGUGGCAUCUAUGAGGCAGUAUCAGUUUGAGUAACGUAUCUGGUUACUGAUUUUAUCAAUGCCUCUUUCAGGUUGGAAACAUUUCUAAACCUAGUUCUACAAUUACUCAACAAAAUAUUUUGCCUAAAACUGUUGGGAAGAUCCCGCUUGAGUUCUCCAUUCUGGUCGUGCAUGGCUGGUGCAUAUUCAGUGCUUACCAAUUAGCGGUCUCAUCUCUUGAAGAGGAAGCUGGUUUGACAUUGUCUUCAUUUGUUGAAGGCCAAUUCUCUUAUUCUUUUUCCUGGGUCCCUUCUGUUGAGAGAUCAUUCCAUGUGAUGCAACCCCUGCUGUUGGUUGACUCCACCAAUCCAGGGUUCUGAGUCUUUAUUGUGGCUUGAAACCUCUUGUUUGAGCAGGAAGCCUUUGCUACCAUCUUCAGUCCGAAGAAAGACAUGUACAGCACAUCAAUAGCUGCUUAUUACAUCUUCUUCUUAUCUCAUUAUUUAAUGAUAGAUCUCAGUUAAGUUGAAUCUCUCCCUGUACAAGCAGUUAACAAUUUUAUGUGGACAUUUAGUUAAUUAAUGCCUCUCCUCAUCACCUCAAUAUUUACUCAACUCCCAGAUUCCAAAGGCUUAUUGGACCACACAAGACAAUUAAACUUUAAAAUUUGAUUUUCCUUGGAAAAAA
Molecule: RNA transcript, 1837 nt
Organism: Hevea brasiliensis (rubber tree)
Lineage: Eukaryota; Viridiplantae; Streptophyta; Magnoliopsida; Malpighiales; Euphorbiaceae
Exons: 5
Source: RefSeq, a predicted model, not a curated record